AUGGUUGCACCUGCUCGGAGCCCGUUCUCAUCCUGGAAACCGGCCGCACCUGGGCGAGCGAGGCAAGGCCAAUUUCCUGCCUGGGCAACGCCGGGCCCUGCGAGCCACAGGCGGGUCCUGGGAGGAGAACGGGCUCUGAGGGGGCGACCGAGCCGAGGGAACUGGACACGGGUGCCAUUUGAAGCGUUGAGCCGGACAGGCCGGUGGGUCUGGCGGCCGGCACCGCUGUCCGGGCUGCGCGGAGCCGGAGACAGAAAAGGGACUGGCUUUGUCCGGCAGCCCUGCCACGGCCGGUACAUGUGGAAGCCCGAUAAGUUGGUUUGGAAGCGGCGGUUCCCGAGGAGCCAGCGGAGGCAGGGCUUCGUGCAUGGCCGGGCAGCCGCUCCUGCAGCCCCGCCGGCGGCUGCGCGGCUCCGAGGCAACGCCGCUGCCGAGCGGGGAGAGCAGAGCCCUGCCCGGGGUCAGCGGGGCUGCUCGCCCAGCUCUGCCAGCGGCACUGCUGCCCCCGGCAGCGAGCCCUUGCCCGCAUCCUUCCUGCGAGCUGGAGACGGAGACCGGCGAGAGCUGGAGAGCCCCGGCUGGAGCCGAGCGGAGAGCUGCAACAGGAUCCAUUGCAAAGCACAUCCAGAAAUGGAAGACCUUUAUUCUUUCUUACUCUUGAGAAAGAUCUGUCAAGUCAGUAAGUGGUUUGAUUGAAUGAGAGCAGUGAAACUAGUCCAUGGUGGAAGACUUUUAAAAAGAGGAGACUUCCCAGUAUGAGAGUGAACGAUUAAUGAGCAAAGAUACCCAGGGAGGAAGACUUCAUCCUGGAUACUUAUUCAGAAUUUCAGCUUGAAUGAUCCAACCAAAAUCAUUUUCCAUGCAUAUUACUACCUGAUAGCUGUGGUCUGCCACACAUGUAUUCUGACAACCUUUAAAGAUUGGUGGGGACUUGUCCACAGGGGAAUCCUUAAGUCUGGUGACUUACCUAUCCUACUACCUGGACAUCCAUUCACUCCGAAGGAUCCAAGAAACAUCCAGUAAAUGACUCUCCAUGCACAAUGAACUGCCUCAGGACCCUGG
Molecule: long non-coding RNA, 1062 nt
Filed under: Parus major (Great Tit)
Lineage: Eukaryota; Metazoa; Chordata; Aves; Passeriformes; Paridae
Description: lncRNA (ENSPMJG00000002696.1)
Source: RNAcentral